This 587-nucleotide long non-coding RNA is filed under the name Cucumis sativus (cucumber). RNAcentral's name for it is "long non-coding RNA (CSAT_LNC000386)". Lineage: Eukaryota; Viridiplantae; Streptophyta; Magnoliopsida; Cucurbitales; Cucurbitaceae. The record is from RNAcentral.
UUUUGAAAAAGUUAUAAUUAUAUUAAAAAGGUUAGAAAUGAGAAUAGGUAAAAGCAAGGUUAGUUAUCCAUAGGGGAAAGAAGGAAGCAGAAGAACAAUAUCAUAUGACGUGAAAGAUACUUGAAAAUGGUCCUCAAUGCCAUGACGUGGCUGUCAAUGCUGUGGUCCCCUUCUUUUCUCUCCCUAAACACGCCCCCACCACUUUUCCUUUUUCCCCGUUUUGCCCCUCCAUUUCUCUUCUUUCCCUUUAUAUUCUCUUCACCUUCUCUCCCUCUUCCCUCACUUUCUUUUCAUUUUUCCCUCACCUUCUUCUUCUUCUUCUUCUUCUCCUCCUCUCUUCCCCAUUUUUCCAAACAAUAACUCUCUGCUUUUUCCUUGCCAUGUCAGCCGCCGUCGCUGCCGCUGCCGCCGCUGCCCUCUCCCGUCGAACCUCCUCCUCCUCCUCUUCCUCCACCACCAUCACCCGUUCCUCUUCCGAUUCUUUCUACUCCCACUACUACCCCUCCGUUUCCGUGUCGGUUCGACCACAGCCAUUGGUCAGCCGCUACGACUGCCUCAAACGUCGUGACUGGAAUAGGUUCCGCCAG